RNAcentral lists this ribosomal RNA (507 nucleotides) under Opeia obscura. Its description in RNAcentral is "partial 16S ribosomal RNA". It matches the Rfam family "Bacterial large subunit ribosomal RNA", at positions 1819 to 2600 of the family's 2925-position model. Lineage: Eukaryota; Metazoa; Arthropoda; Insecta; Orthoptera; Acrididae. The record is from RNAcentral.
GUCCUCUCGAAUAAUAUUAUGAGGUCUGGCCUGCUCACUGAUUAUUUUAAAGAGCCGCGGUAUUUUGACCGUGCAAAGGUAGCAUAAUCAUUAGUCUCUUAAUUAGGGGCUGGAAUGAAUGGCUUGACGAGAAAUUAACUGUCUCUUGAUAAUUUUUUGAAUUUAACUUUUAAGUCAAAAGGCUUAAAUUUUUCUUUAGGACGAGAAGACCCUAUAGAGCUUAAUAUUUAAAUUUUAUAUAUUUUUAUGUUAGUCUUUAUAUAUAUAAUGAAAAUAUUUUGUUGGGGUGACAUGAAAAAUUAAUAAACUUUUCAUCAUGACAUCAUUAAUUUAUGUUUUUUGAUCCAUAAUUUAUGAUCAUAAGAUUAAGUUACCUUAGGGAUAACAGCGUAAUUGUUUUUGAGAGCUCAUAUCGACAAAACAGAUUGCGACCUCGAUGUUGGAUUAAGAUUAGUUCUGGAUGCAGUAGUCCAGUAAUUAGGUCUGUUCGACCUUUAAAUUCUUACA